AAAAAACUCAGCGUUAGUGGACGCUGGUGAGGGACUUCUAUAAGGCCGUUCCACCCUGCAGGGAAGUGAAACGGUGACGCGUUGCGUCUUAGGACCGGGGCGACGGUAAAAAGGUUAACGCCCUACAACCAAUGUGGACGGAUUCUAUGCACCGUUUUAUAGAUCGUCAACACUAUAGAAUAUUAAAACUAUAACUAUUUGUAA
Burkholderia sp. H160 is the source of this 204-nucleotide non-coding RNA. Lineage: Bacteria; Pseudomonadati; Pseudomonadota; Betaproteobacteria; Burkholderiales; Burkholderiaceae. The record is from Rfam.